Molecule: ribosomal RNA, 765 nt
Filed under: uncultured Treponema sp.
Lineage: Bacteria; Pseudomonadati; Spirochaetota; Spirochaetia; Treponematales; Treponemataceae
Description: bacterial SSU rRNA
Rfam family: Bacterial small subunit ribosomal RNA
Source: RNAcentral
AACGAACGCUGGCGGCGCGUCCUAAGCAUGCAAGUCGAACGGCAAGAGAGGAGCUUGCUUCUCUCCUAGAGUGGCGGACUGGUGAGGAACACGUGGGUAAUCUACCCUUAAGAUGGGGAUAGCUGCUAGAAAUAGCAGGUAAUACCGAAUACACUCGGCAUAUCACAAGAGAUGUUGAGGAAAGGAAGCUACGGCUUCGCUUGAGGAUGAGCUUGCGUCCCAUUAGCUAGUUGGUGAGGUAAAGGCCCACCAAGGCGACGAUGGGUAUCCGGCCUGAGAGGGUGAACGGACACAUUGGGACUGAGAUACGGCCCAAACUCCUACGGGAGGCAGCAGCUAAGAAUAUUCCGCAAUGGACGGAAGUCUGACGGAGCGACGCCGCGUGGAUGAAGAAGGCUGAAAAGUUGUAAAAUCCUUUUGUUGAUGAAGAAUAAGGGUGAGAGGGAAUGCUCAUCUGAUGACGGUAAUCGACGAAUAAGCCCCGGCUAAUUACGUGCCAGCAGCCGCGGUAACACGUAAGGGGCGAGCGUUGUUCGGAAUUAUUGGGCGUAAAGGGCAUGUAGGCGGCUAUGUAAGCCUGAUGUGAAAUCCUGGGGCUUAACCCUAGAAUAGCAUUGGGUACUGUAUAGCUUGAAUUACGGAAGGGAAACUGGAAUUCCAAGUGUAGGGGUGGAAUCUGUAGAUAUUUGGAAGAACACCGGUGGCGAAGGCGGGGUUUCUGGGCCGAUAAUUGACGCUUAGAUAGAAAGUGCGGGGAUCGAAUAG